Molecule: non-coding RNA, 277 nt
Filed under: Polaromonas naphthalenivorans CJ2
Lineage: Bacteria; Pseudomonadati; Pseudomonadota; Betaproteobacteria; Burkholderiales; Comamonadaceae
Description: Region of HEARO RNA that is 5' to ORF location
Rfam family: HNH endonuclease-associated RNA and ORF (HEARO) RNA (bases 1-245)
Source: RNAcentral
GUCAACUACCCCGCCCUAAAGGGCGGAGCUUGAAGUCGAAAGACAACAAGCCAGGUUGAAACAGGGAAAGCGGUAACCAGCCCGCUACGUUAGCAACAGGUCGUCAAGACGCACCAGCGAAUGCUUCCUCAGUUCGCUGCUCUGCAAGGCUUUAAUCAUGCAGACCAAAGGUAAAGGGUCGAAGGUUUUAGUCGCUGCUCGCAAGAGCAGGAGCCGGUUGCUGACAUUCCCGAGGGGAGAUGUGCCGAAAGGCUUGCGUCACCAGGCCCGUAAGGGC